RNAcentral lists this ribosomal RNA (478 nucleotides) under uncultured bacterium. Its description in RNAcentral is "partial 16S ribosomal RNA". It matches the Rfam family "Bacterial small subunit ribosomal RNA", at positions 28 to 507 of the family's 1533-position model. The record is from RNAcentral.
GACGAACGCUGGCGGCGUGCUUAACACAUGCAAGUCGAACGGGAUUUAGUAAACAGAAACCUCGGUGGAAGAUUACUAAUGAGAGUGGCGAACGGGUGAGUAACGCGUGAGCAACCUGCCUAUGACAGUGGGAUAGCCUCGGGAAACCGGGAUUAAUACCGCAUAAAAUCGUAGAAACACAUGUUUUAACGGUCAAAGAUUUAUCGGUCAUAGAUGGGCUCGCGUCUGAUUAGCUAGUUGGUGAGAUAACAGCCCACCAAGGCGACGAUCAGUAGCCGGUCUGAGAGGAUGAACGGCCACAUUGGAACUGAGACACGGUCCAAACUCCUACGGGAGGCAGCAGUGGGGAAUAUUGCACAAUGGGGGAAACCCUGAUGCAGCGACGCCGCGUGAACGAAGAAGGUAUUCGUAUCGUAUAGUUCUGUCCUAUGGGAAGAUAAUGACAGUACCAUAGAAGAAAGCUCCGGCUAAAUACGUG